Non-coding RNA from Leptodontidium sp. MPI-SDFR-AT-0119, 79 nucleotides. The record is from the annotation of a GenBank genome assembly. NCBI's taxonomy places the organism in Eukaryota, Fungi, Ascomycota, Leotiomycetes, Helotiales, Leptodontidiaceae.
GACUUCAUGGUGCAAUUGGUAGCACGCAUAGCUAAAAGAAUCACGCUGUGAGAUUUAGGUUCGAUUCCUAAUGGAGUCC